GGUGGCACUGAUGGCUGUGGGGUGGCAUUGGGUGACACUGAUGGCAAUGGGGAGGCCAUGGGUGGCCAUGGAGUGGCAAUAGGGUGGCACUGGUGGCCAUGGGGUGGCAAUGGUGGCCAUGGGGUGGCUAUAGGGUGACACUGGUGGCUAUGGGGUGGCCAUGGGGUGGCAGUGGGUGACACUGGUGGCCAUGGGGUGGCAUUGGUGACCAUGGGGUGACCCUGGUGGCCAUGGGGUGGCAAUGGGGUGGCACUGGUGGCCAUGGGGUGGCAAUAGGGUGGCACUGGGGGCUGUGGGGUGACACUGGGAUGGCAGUGGUGGCCAUGGGGUGGCCAUGGGGUGGCAUUGGUGGCCAUGGGGUGGCAAUAGGGUGUCACCGAUGGCCAUGGGGUGGCAAUAGGGUGACACUGAUGGCCAUGGGGUGGCAAUAGAGUGACUCCGGUGGCCAUGGGGUGGCAUUGGUGGCCAUGGGGUGGCAAUAGGGUGACACUGAUGGCCAUGGGGUGGCACUG
Molecule: long non-coding RNA, 512 nt
Filed under: Gallus gallus (chicken)
Lineage: Eukaryota; Metazoa; Chordata; Aves; Galliformes; Phasianidae
Description: lncRNA (ENSGALG00010000780.1)
Source: RNAcentral